Long non-coding RNA from Mastomys coucha (southern multimammate mouse), 1387 nucleotides. RefSeq lists it as uncharacterized. The transcript is spliced from 4 exons. The record is from RefSeq and is a predicted model, not a curated record. NCBI's taxonomy places the organism in Eukaryota, Metazoa, Chordata, Mammalia, Rodentia, Muridae.
CUCUCUCUCCCUCUCUCUCUCUCUCUCUCUCUCUCCCUCUCUCCCCUCCUCCCUCCCAACCCCAGAGCACUUCCUGCAAACUGCCGGGCUGCGCUGCUGCUGUUGCUGCUGCUUUCCGUUGCGGGCGCGGCACCAUCCUGUACCCCGGCUCCCCCUGCCUGACCUGCUCCAUUUUACAGAUGGGGAACUCAAGGUCGACCUCUGGAGGUUUUGUUUGUUUGUUUAUUUGUUUGUUUUCCAAAAUGAAGCACGGGAACUGCCGUGCUGGAAAGAUGUUCACCACCAUGCCUGGGAUCUGGUGAUUUUACAGGAUCUGAAGAGUCCAUUGGGCUUCUGCUUAGCCUUCAGAGCCUGCUGCUGGAUUCCUAGUCUGCAAGCCGACGCUUUCGGGGUCGGCGCUGGAAAUAAUGUAACUGGGUUUUCAGCUCAAACCUAUUUCAUUUCUAACAUUUAAAUUCAGAAGUUAAAUUGGAAGAACGUCAAGAACAUUGUCUUUCUUAAGUAAAAUGAAAAAAUUACAUAUGGAAAAUAUAUUACUUCUGAUUGAAUCCAGGGAUAAUUUCCAGAACGCCUGUGUGUUAUUGCAUUGAUACUCAACCUACAACAGUGUCUCAGAGACAUUAGAGUCACUUUGCUGUGGUUUAUGCAGCACGCUGAACCAGGAGAACGGGCGCUCUGUGACUCCUGAGGGGAAUUACAUUGUAAGACUGAAGAGGCUCCUGUCUGCAGCUUCAUCGCUCUAGAGACCGAAGCGGGAAUAUUGUCAGGAGUCAUGCUUAGCCUGUGCUGCACAGCGAGCUUCAGGCCAGCCUGGGCUACAGAGUGAAGCUCCCAAAAGAAGAGAUAGUCUUCCAGCCCAGCCUGGCCUGCAAGUCACUGAGGAGUGGAGGCUGCCCCUGAACUCCCGGAUACUUCUCCUUCCACUUCUCUCGCACAUGCAAAACUUGAGAUUUUGAAAGUUGUACAUUUGUUCAAGAUCGCCCAGCAGCUAUCAGAGGAGUGAGGGCAAACCCCAGGUCUCCAGACAUAGGUCACAACAGCACCCAAAUCCAUCACCCACCCUUUGCAUUUGGAUGGCAAAGGUUGAGCCACCCUGAAACUACUGUUUUCAGGUUUUUUUUAGUUCCCUAGAACUGGUUCCUUCUUCCAGAAACCCAGAGUGCUGUAACUAAAUGCGUCUUGUGUCUUUCAGUUCCCUCACGAGGACGAGGCAGGGAUGGGUUUGAAGUUUCUGAGCCUUGCAGUUGGGAUGCCCCUGUCCUUUCAGAGGUUCAUCACUGCAUCACUGCCAGCCUUUUCCUGCUUAUGGAAACCCUGGGAUCAGGUGUUCAAGGUUAGCCUCAGCAAUAUCGUGAGUUCAAGACCAGCCUGGGAUACAAAAGACCUC